AUUGAACGCUGGCGGCAGGCCUAACACAUGCAAGUCGAGCGGUAGAGAGGUGCUUGCAUCUCUUGAGAGCGGCGGACGGGUGAGUAAUGCCUAGGAAUCUGCCUAGUGGUGGGGGAUAACGUUCGGAAACGGACGCUAAUACCGCAUACGUCCUACGGGAGAAAGCGGGGGAUCUUCGGACCUCGCGCCAUUAGAUGAGCCUAGGUCGGAUUAGCUAGUUGGUGAGGUAAUGGCUCACCAAGGCGACGAUCCGUAACUGGUCUGAGAGGAUGAUCAGUCACACUGGAACUGAGACACGGUCCAGACUCCUACGGGAGGCAGCAGUGGGGAAUAUUGGACAAUGGGCGAAAGCCUGAUCCAGCCAUGCCGCGUGUGUGAAGAAGGUCUUCGGAUUGUAAAGCACUUUAAGUUGGGAGGAAGGGUAGGUAACCUAAUACGUUGCUACUUUGACGUUACCGACAGAAUAAG
Molecule: ribosomal RNA, 468 nt
Filed under: uncultured bacterium
Lineage: Bacteria
Description: bacterial SSU rRNA
Rfam family: Bacterial small subunit ribosomal RNA
Source: RNAcentral